ACGAACGCUGGCGGCGUGCUUAACACAUGCAAGUCGAACGGAAAGGCCCUGCUUUUGUGGGGUGCUCGAGUGGCGAACGGGUGAGUAACACGUGAGUAACCUGCCCUUGACUUUGGGAUAACUUCAGGAAACUGGGGCUAAUACCGGAUAGGAGCUCCUGCUGCAUGGUGGGGGUUGGAAAGUUUCGGCGGUUGGGGAUGGACUCGCGGCUUAUCAGCUUGUUGGUGGGGUAGUGGCUUACCAAGGCUUUGACGGGUAGCCGGCCCGAGGGGGUGACCGGCGAGAUUGGGACUGAGAUGCGGCCGAGACUCCUACGGGAGGCAGCAGUGGGGAAUAUUGCACAAUGGGCGGAAGCCUGAUGCAGCAACGCCGCGUGCGGGAUGACGGCCUUCGGGUUGUAAACCGCUUUCGCCUGUGACGAAGCGUGAGUGAGGGUAAUGGGUAAAGAAGCACCGGCUGACUAGGUG
This 467-nucleotide ribosomal RNA is filed under the name uncultured bacterium. Its description in RNAcentral is "partial 16S ribosomal RNA". It matches the Rfam family "Bacterial small subunit ribosomal RNA", at positions 29 to 507 of the family's 1533-position model. The record is from RNAcentral.